AGAUGGGCAUGCGUUCCAUUAGGUAGUUGGUGAGGUAACGGCUCACCAAGCCGACGAUGGAUAGGGGAACUGAGAGGUUGGUCCCCCACACUGGUACUGAGACACGGACCAGACUCCUACGGGAGGCAGCAGUGAGGAAUAUUGGUCAAUGGGGCGGGAGCCUGAACCAGCCAAGUCGCGUGAAGGAAGAAGGAUCUAUGGUUCGUAAAACUUCUUUUGCAGGGGGAAUAAAGUGCAGGACGUGUCCUGUUUUGUAUGUACCCUGAGAAUAAGGAUCGGCUAACUCCGUGCCAGCAGCCGCGGUAAUACGGAGGAUCCGAGCGUUAUCCGGAUUUAUUGGGUUUAAAGGGUGCGUAGGUGGUUUGAUAAGUCAGCGGUGAAAGUUUGCAGCUUAACUGUAAAAAAUGCCGUUGAAACUGUCGGACUUGAGUGUAAAUGAGGUAGGCGGAAUGCGUGGUGUAGCGGUGAAAUGCAUAGAUAUCACGCAGAACUCCGAUUGCGAAGGCAGCUUACUAAG
This 517-nucleotide ribosomal RNA is filed under the name uncultured bacterium. RNAcentral describes it as "bacterial SSU rRNA". It matches the Rfam family "Bacterial small subunit ribosomal RNA", at positions 223 to 733 of the family's 1533-position model. The record is from RNAcentral.